CAAAAUCUACCAAAAUGUAAAAUGGAUAGUGUGAUUGUGCUCCGACGAGAUUCCAACCGGUCGAGCUUUCCGACGAUCUACAAAACAAAGAAAAAAAACUACAUAAGCAGCUAGUGCUUUGUAAGCUCGUAUAAAGGAAACUUAAACUUUCCAAACAUAUUGUGUUUAAAACAACCAAGCAUAACACCACUUCACAAAGUUAGUAGGUAUAUAAAUGAGCAUAUAAAUUCCAGCCAACUCAUGGAACAUAUCACAAUAUGCAUUCAAUAUAUAUUUCAUCCAUCAUGUAUUUAAAUAAUACCCUUUUCAUUUCAAGUACAUAAAUCAACAUUUUCUAUUUCAUAUUUUAAUAACAUAGACCAUUUCAUAUACAUACAUAUUUAGAUUAAACUUUAAUCAGUUGUCGAACCAAAUGGAAUAUCAUCGGAUACUCGGAAAUGCUCACAUGAGCUGUGACUGUAACAUGUAACCGUAUAUACUAACACAAGCUGUGAAAUGGGUCUGCUCACACGAGCUGUGGGUCAUGAUGUUAAGCUACACGAUGCUGCUCACACAAAGUUAUGGAGAAUCCACAACAAAUGCAGGACCUCAGCCAUCGAUAGGACAUCCAAGACUAACACCAAAAACCGUAUAACCCCUAAUGACAUGUCAUUCGUAUCCUAAGUAUUCACAAGGUUCUAACAGGACCAUUGUAUCCAAUUCUUUUAUUUACAUUACAUUAUGCUAUUCCAAAUAUGCUUCCAUGAAAUAUACAUUUUCAAAUAUAACAUCCAAUUUAAUUAACAUCAUAAUUUGAUCCAAUAUCAAAAAAUCGUACAACUAACAAUCUAAAUUAUACAUAGCAUAAUAUUUAUUAACAUUACAUUCAAAACAUUAAUUAAUAAGUUUAAUACUUAUACGAACUUACCUCGACUAAAAUGAUUGCAAAAACAAAGUCAACAGCUAGUCUGAAACUUUAGUUUUUCCUCGAUUUAAAUUCGAUUGGUUCAUUUCUUGAACUAGAUAACAAUUUUCAUUCAAUUAAAACAUUCCAGCACUUAAAUAAACAUUUUCAUACAAUUAAGCCCUUUCAUCAUCAUUUUACAAAAUUACCCCAACAUUUUACCUUUUAUGCAAUUUAGUCCCUAAACUCGAAACUUGCAAAUUUACCAUUUUUAGCCACUAACCACGCUAGCCAAAUUCUAAGGGUUUCUAAACAGCCCAUAUUUUUUUUUUCAUUUCAUAAAAUCUACCUGAACUUUUACUAUUUUUAUAAAUAAGUCCCUAAACCUUAAAAUUACCAAAAAUUACUAAACAAAAUACUUAUAUAUAACUACCAACCUUACUAACCCAUCAAAUAAGUUCAAAGGUAUACCCAAUUCAUUAAUGGUAAGUCCCUAUAAUUUUAAUAAUUUUACAAAUUGACCCCCAGGUUAGUAGAUUAAACUAAAACGAUAACAAAAACAUAACAAUCAUUAAAAAACAGGAUCAAAAUCACUCACAUGCAUACAAAAGUGGCUUUGUCAAAUGCUUCUCAUUAUUGGCUAUGGCUUUUCGACUUUCAAAACUAUAGUUCACUUCAUCGCUUAUCACACAACGGAUGAUGCUGCAUACGUAGUUGACUUGUUCUUCAAAGAGGUUACAUGGUAUACCUCACACCAUUUUCUUUGAUCGAGACUCCUAAGUCACUUUUCGAAAGUAUUAUGGGGUAAGCUUGGAACUAAAUUACUUUAUUCUACUACUUGCCACCCUCAAACCGAUGGCCAAACUGAGGUGGUCAAUCGAGUCUUAGGUGCUUUACUUAGAGCAAUUGUGGGUAAGAAUCUUAAAAAUUAGGAGGAGUGUUUACCAUUUUUUGAGUUUUCUUAUAAUAGAUCUAUUCAUUCUACUACCGGUUACUCCCCUUUUGAAAUUGUUUAUGGUUUUAACCCACUUACUAUAUACUUGAUUUUGUGCAUUUGCUCAUUGAUGAGGUUUCUAACUUAGAUGGAGAAAAGAAAGCGGAUUUGGUAAGAAUUAUCCAUGAGAAAGUGAAACAACUAAUUGAAAAGAAAAAUUUUACCAAUGCUACCAAAGCUAAUAAGGGGUGCAAGCAAGUUGUGUUUAAACCUGGUGAUUGGGUUUGGUUCCAUAUGUGAAAAUAAAUGUUUCCAAGUAAGCGAAGGACUAAGUUAGACCCACGAGGAGAUGGACCUUUCCAAGUGCUCAAACAUAUCAUUGACAAUUCAUAUCACAUUGAUCUGCCCGGUGAGUAUACUGUUAGUUUUUUUUUAAUGUGGCUGAUCUCUCUCCCUUUGAUGCUUCAAAUUCGAGGAUGAAUCCUAUUGAGGAAAGGGGGAAUGAUGUGAACAUCAAGGUCCAACCAAGGGAGCAUGGACAUGAUGGGCUAACUUUACCUCAUGGUCCUAUUACAAGAUCUAAAGCUAAGCAAAUCAAGUUCGGAUUAAAUGUAGUAGUCUAAGAGUUUGUGAUGAAGACCGUACAAGCUUAUUCAAAGGAAAAAAGAGAUCAAGAUUCACUUUAUUGGCCUAAUUCCUUUAUAUAUGAAGAUCCAAGAGUUCAAAGAAAACAAGAUUUUGAAUCUUGGUCUAAGAAACAACAUUUUGGAGUUGGAACGAAAUGGAUCACACUAGCAAGCUUAAACAAGCCCAAUUUUGGAAUGAACAGAUCCAGCAUACAAAAUCAGCCCAUGGGGACAUCCAUAAGCACAUAUUGAAGUUUCAACUAGAGUCUAUUUGGAUUACUUUAGGACUUAGUUUAUUUUCUAGUUUUAGUUUGGCCCAAUCUGUUAAUGGCCCAAUUAAUAAACUUAGUCAAGUCAAGUUGUCUUCCACGAUUUUUGGGAAUUGUUUGGCUAAAUUGUAGGCAUUUAUCUUCCACAAUUUUACAAAUUUGUUUCUCUUUUAUCCAACCUCUUUGUAGUAUAAAAAUGAGUGAUAUCCACCAUAUUUAGUACACAUUAUGAGUUUUUGAUUGAUAAAGAAAAUACUCUUUGAGUUUCUUUUUGCAAGAUUUGUUUCUUGUCUGUUUUAGAAGUUGUUCGACACAAUCUUCUUAGAUUGUUGGGGAUUGUCUUCAAGCUUUAACUUGCCAACAGCUCUUUCUUGGUGAGAGGAGAUUAAAACUAAUUGAAGAGAGUUGUUGGAUAUCUUGUUACAAAUACUUCUUAGGGCACUCCAUCUUUCAUUUUCAAUAUCGUCCACCCAUUAUCUUUUCAUCUCUUCUUUAGUUUUACUUGUUUAUUUUAUUUAUUUACUUUCUUGAAUCUAAUCACUUCAAGUUCUUAUUUUCCAGGUUCAAGAAUCCAAAAAUCCAUUUGGUUUGUACUUUCUUUGGCUCCAAGAACAUUAAAGUCAAUCAAAUUAGGAGUUUUUCUCCAAACCAAAUUUGUUUCUUUUUUCUUUUCUUUAUUUCAAUCAUUUUUUAUCAUUUUCAUUAUUUUUCUUCUAAUAAUGUUGCUUGUUAUGUUCAGGUAUUAAGGCUAUAAUUUUUCAUUCAAGUUGGUCUAGUGCCUUAAGUCAAAUACGCGACUUUAAAGCUUUUCGAUCCUAAUCCACUGUCCGUAUUAAUUUAUUUUCUCCAUCUUGUACUCUUCGUUGGUUUGCCGCAUUAGUGAAGUUUUCUUUGCCCAUGGUUUUUAUCCUCUUCGUUGGAGUUUUCCAUGUACAAUUUGUGUUCAAUCUUCUCUACCUUUUCUAUUUCAUUUUUAUAUGGUUCGAUCCCCAACACGUAUGUUCUCAUUUUGUAAUAAGACUUUAGGAAGGGUCUAAUAUAAAUUUUGAGAUUUGGUUUAUUUUUUUCAUUUAUCUUAGCCCUAGAUAAUAAUAUUAAGUGAUUUUAAAAUGUUUUUAAACCUUUUCAACUAUCAAAAUUUUAUUAAUGAAAGUAUAUUAUAUGGACAAAUAUUGAUUCUUAAUAGAGUGACAUUUGGUUAAAGUGAUCAUUUUUUUUAAUGUGACAUCACCUAUCUAUACAGAUCAUUGGGAUGGGUACCAAGUGUUACAUAAAAACCCAGUUUGGUAUGCCUGUCCAGAUUAUGCAAAGUGGUAAUGCUAAAUAAUACUUCUCUAACCAUUUUUAGGCUUUCAUGACCCAAAAUGAGAUUCUUCAUUAAUCUUCUUGCGUUGACACAUCAACACAAAAUGAAGCCGCUAAACAAUAGAACAUACAUCUUCUUGAGAUAGCAAAAGCUCUUUUCUUUAGAUAAAAGUUUCUAAAUAGUUCUAGGUUGAUGUUGUUUUGACAACUUUUUUUCUAAUCAAUCACACGUCUUCUUCCGUACUAAAUGGUGAUAACCCAUGCAAUAUUGUGUUCCAUCCAAGCCAUUAUUCUAGUACAAUCAAGGAUUUUUAGAAGUACGUAUUUUUUUCGGGAUGUUUGACCUCAUGUCACUAAAUUGGAUCCAAAGUCUUUGAAGUGUGUGUGUUUUUGGUAUUAUCACCUUUAAAGGGGUACAAGUGUUACAAUCCUAAUUUCAAUAGGUAUUUGGUGUCUACUAAUGUCUUUUCAGAACUUGUACCUUUCGUUUUAGAAACAACAUCUCCAAUGGCUUUAAGAUAAGGGGAGGAUGAUUAGUGGUUAAUAUAGCCUAUCACAUAUCCAAACUCUUCAAUUCAUCAGCCACAGAAUCUUGAUCCUCUAACAAAUACUUUUGUUUUUUUAUCCAAUGACUCUUAUUUCAACAAAGUUUCCAAUUACUCAAGUUCAUUCUAGAUGAAGGGAAACCCAUGAUACAUGUCUUAUACCAAAUUCUUUAUUAUCAAAUUUGACCCCAAGUGAUCUUGAAAUUUUCAUUGCUCUACAAAAAGGUAAACGCCAAUAUACUCAUCCUCUUUUCAAUUUUGUUUUAUAUAACCAUGGUUUCCUUAAUCUCGCUCCUUAAUUACGUCUCUAAAUUCUAUUUCUAUUCUUAAAACCAUUAGAAAGGCCUUGAGAUGAGUUGGCAUGAUGUGAGGAUAGAGGAAAUACAAAAAUUACAUGAAAAUAACACUUGGACUUGAUGGAUUUACUUGUUGGGAAAAAAGUUGUUGGAUAUAAAUAGGUAUUGACGGUUAAGUUUAACCUAGAUGGCUCAAUAGCUUGACUUAAAGCUCAACUUGUUGUGCAAGGUCAUACACAAACCUAUGUUCUGGAUUAUUCAAAAGCAUUCUCUCAUGUAACCAAACUAUCUUACGUUUAUAUAUUUAUUUCAUUAAUUGCUUCCUAGAGUUGGCCUCUACACCAAUUAGAUAUCAAGAUUUCUUUCUUUAUGUUGAUAUCAAGGAAGAAAUCUAUAUGGAGAAACUAUCCAAGUUUAUUACUCAUGGGGAAAAUGGAAAGGUUUUUCAUUUGAAGAAAAAUCUAUGUAUUGGUUGAAGUAGAGUUUGCAUGCAUGGUUUGGCAAGUUCAGCAAGAUCGUUCAAGUGUUUGGACGAAAAAAGCAUCUAUGACCACUCAGUUUUCUACAGACAAUCAGAAACUAGAAUAAUUCUCCUUAUAGUGUAUGUAGAUUUUGUUAUUACUGAAGAUGAUGAUGUGGGAAUCACCAUUCUCAAGUCUUUGUUGCACUUCAGAUUUAGCAGGAAAGACUUAUGACAAUUGAAGUACUUCUUAGGAAUAAAGUUAAUAAAGAGCUAUAAGAUGUUUUUAUCUCUUAAAAGAAGUACGUCUUGCUCUGCUUGCAGAGAUGGGAAUGCUAGCAACAAAACCUUGUAGUACUCUAAUUAUCCCUUUGUUGAUCAAGGGAUGUAUAAGAGGAUAGUUGGGAAGUUAAAUUAUCAUCUCACUGUGACUAGUCUAAACAUUUCAUUUGCAAUAAGUAUUGCUAGCCAAUUCAUGCCUACACCUACAAUUAAAUAUUACGUACUAUGUUAGCUCUUAAAUAUGGCAUAUUAUAUAGUAAUCACGGACAUACUCACAUUGAGUGUUUUGCUAUGAAAAUUGAGUGGGAUCUAAAAGUGAUAGAAGAUCUACUACUAGAUCUUGCAUUUUUUUGUUAGCAGAAAUUUAAUUUCAUGGAGGAGCAAGAAGCAGAAUGUUGUAUCUUAGUCAAAUGUAGAAUCAAAGAACAAAGCAAUACUCAGCUUAUGUGUGAGAUCAUGUUGGUACAACAUCUGCUAGCUAAAAUUAGGCUAGAGCAUCCAUCACCAACAAAACUUUGGAGCAAUAAUCAAGUCAUUCUUAACAUCACUUCGAGUCCAGCCUACCAUAAAAGAACCAAACACAUUGAAGUUGAUUGUCACUUCAUUCAUAAAAAGAUUCUAGACCACUCAUUACCCACUGGCUAUGUGAAUAUAGGAGAAUAACUUGCAAAUUUGUUCACAAAAGCAUUGAAUGACAAUCAAGUUGACUAUCUUUGUCACAAGCUAGGGAUGAUCAAAAUUUAUGCUACAACUUGAAAGGAAGUGUUAGAGAAUAUAAAAUCUAAUUCUUAGGCAUAAAUUAUGUACAUGAAACCAGGAUUAAUUCUACGGUAGAAUUUGAUUUGAUUUGAUUUUAUUUCUUUCCUCCUUUGGACUUUGUAAAUAUGUAUAUAUAUAUGGGCUUUCCAUAAAGAUGAAUAUACUACAAUUUUUUUUCUACAUCUUUUCAAUUUCACUAUUUUUAUAAUAAUUUUUUCUUUGGCCUAUUAUAUCAAUAAUAUAAGUACAUUCGAUUCAUAUAUUAAGCUUAUAACCAAGCUUUCACAAAACCUUUAACCCAUUUUUGACUAAAUUAAUUUCUGUGGUAGAUGGAUUAAACAAAUUAAUUCAAUUUUAAUCAAAAUUUGCACUCCACUAUUAAUUUUAAUUAGUUGAAUAAUUUAUUUUAAUUUAUCAAAAUUAAUUUGGAUUUUUUAAUUAAUUAGUUAUUUAAAUGAUUAGAUUUGGUUUGUAAUCCAAAUCAAGAGAGAAAGCUUGAAAAACUUGGGCAAAGAAUUGCCCUAUCACCCUAGCCCAACUCGACAAGCGAGGGGUAGAUUAGGGGUUUCCUCCCCCCAAGGAAGCCGUCAGUCACUCUUUUAUUGUAUAGUUGUACUAUAAUUCUUCCAGUUUUAUUAAUUUAUAACUCUAACUUGAAUUUUUUUUUCUCUAUAAAUAUACAAGCAAGCCAAAAUUUUCAUAUGCACAAAUACUAGGGGCGUCAAGGGAGGCCUCAAAAAAGUGAUGAAGCUCUUGCAUAUGACGAAGUCAAAGGAUGCCGAAUGGAACUUCUACUUAAAUAGGCCUUUUGCCCAAAAGAGUUGAAACCUAGUACCCCUUUAAGCCUCUUAAGGAAAUUAUGAUGGGAGAAAAGACCCAAUGGACCACCUAGUCCAAUACAAUAGUUACAUGCACAUCUUGGUCACGAAAAAUGACCUGAAAUGCAAAAUGUUCUCCAUGAACUCGAGACUAUGCUAGGAUAUGAAAUUCCACAUUACCAGCAGGGUCAAUGUAUGAUUUUAGAGAGCUAACAUGCAAAUUUAUGAGCAUUUUUCAAUAAACAAAGUGGGUGAGAUAGAAAGAUAAAGAGAGCUUGAAAGUUUACAGUCAUCGUUAACACAGCCAAUGUUGGCAUCGAAGGCCUAAAGACGAGUAGGUCAUCCAAGCUUUUAUAGCAAAGGUAGAUGAUGAACAUUUGAAGUAUGCUUUGACGAAACACAAAAUAGAAAAGCUAUAUCAGCUCUAUGAAAAGGUGCAUCGAUAUGCGAAAACGAAAAAUAAAUUGAUAAUAGAAAGAGAUUCUAUGGUAAAAUGGAAGGAGGGAUUAAGGAGAGAUUACCACCCAUAUGAACAGGGGUUUAGAGGUAAACACGAGGAGACAACCAUUUAAGCUUUAUCCCCCACCUCAAUUGACUUUCCAAGGGCAAAGUGACAAGAUUUGUAGAAGG
Molecule: long non-coding RNA, 7807 nt
Filed under: Gossypium barbadense (sea-island cotton)
Lineage: Eukaryota; Viridiplantae; Streptophyta; Magnoliopsida; Malvales; Malvaceae
Description: long non-coding RNA (GBAR_LNC020969)
Source: RNAcentral